Molecule: small nuclear RNA, 307 nt
Filed under: Castor canadensis (American beaver)
Lineage: Eukaryota; Metazoa; Chordata; Mammalia; Rodentia; Castoridae
Description: 7SK RNA (ENSCCNG00000003731.1)
Rfam family: 7SK RNA
About the family: 7SK was discovered as an abundant small nuclear RNA in the mid-70s but a possible function has only recently been suggested. Two independent studies have found that 7SK RNA binds the CDK9/cyclin T complex (known as elongation factor P-TEFb).
Source: Rfam by way of RNAcentral
AGAUGUGAGAGAGAUCUGGCUGAGACAUCUGUCACCCCAUCAAUCACCAGGGUUGAUUCAACUAAUCUGGAUGUCCACUUCCUCACUCUCCUCAUCCAUGUGUGUCCCUCCGGAAGCUGAGCGCUCUGUGGAAGAGGAUGACCGUCCUGGAUAGAGGACUCUUCUUGGGUCAAGGGUAUAUGAGUAGCUGCACUCCACUGCUACAACCUCCAAAUAAGCUCUCAAGACUCUAUGAAGUAAGAAAAAUAAGAUAUAUGUAAAUAUUCCACUAUUAAGUUGUAUCUAUUAAGAUAAUAUGGUAUUGACC